UUGGAGGGCAAGUCUGGUGCCAGCAGCCGCGGUAAUUCCAGCUCCAAUAGCGUAUAUUAAAGUUGUUGCAGUUAAAAAGCUCGUAGUUGAAUAUCGGGAUCAAUGUUUCGGUCAUGCCGUUGGUAUGUACUGAUAUUAUUGAUUUCUCACCUUCUAAAGAACCGUAAUGCCAUUAAUUUGGUGUCACGGGGAGUUAGGACUGUUACCUUGAAAAAAUUAGAGUGUUUAAAGCAGGCUCACGCUUGAAUACAUUAGCUUGGAAUAAUGAAAUAGGACAUCCGAUUCUAUUUUGUUGGUUUCUAGGAUCGAUGUAAUGAUUAAUAGGGAUAGUUGGGGGCAUUAGUAUUCAAUUGUCAGAGGUGAAAUUCUUGGAUUUAUUGAAGACUAACUACUGCGAAAGCAUUUGCCAAGGAUGUUUUCAUUAAUCAAGAACGAAAGUUAGGGGAUCGAAGACGAUCAGAUACCGUCGUAGUCUUAACCAUAAACUAUGCCGACUAGGGAUCGGAUGAUGUUAAUUUUUUAAUGACUCAUUCGGCGCCUUACGGGAAACCAAAGUGUUUGGGUUC
RNAcentral lists this ribosomal RNA (566 nucleotides) under uncultured Glomeromycotina. RNAcentral describes it as "SSU rRNA". It matches the Rfam family "Eukaryotic small subunit ribosomal RNA", at positions 548 to 1114 of the family's 1831-position model. The record is from RNAcentral. Lineage: Eukaryota; Fungi; Glomeromycota.